UUCUCAAAGUGGAUCAACAUCUAUUGCACAUCAUGUUCAACACCAAGAUGCUCGAUACAUUCUAUUCCUUUCUCCUCAUCAGCAUCAUAGCACAUAUAAUCAUCAACUCUAUAGCCCACACUCCCAAUUAGAGAAACCAUAGUAAAAAAUGAUAUGUCUGACUGGUCUUCUAACCAUAGAAUCUCUAGCUAAGAAAUGUAACCAAAUUUUCCAUUUUGGGCCAUCAAUAUUGCACCACAAGUUGGAAUACCUUGCACCACCAGCAGGGAAGGAAGCUUGCGC
This 282-nucleotide long non-coding RNA is filed under the name Hordeum vulgare. Its description in RNAcentral is "long non-coding RNA (HVUL_LNC019531)". The record is from RNAcentral. Lineage: Eukaryota; Viridiplantae; Streptophyta; Magnoliopsida; Poales; Poaceae.